RNAcentral lists this small nuclear RNA (83 nucleotides) under Moschus moschiferus (Siberian musk deer). RNAcentral's name for it is "U4 spliceosomal RNA (ENSMMSG00000018788.1)". It matches the Rfam family "U4 spliceosomal RNA", at positions 1 to 83 of the family's 138-position model. From Rfam's summary of the family: U4 small nuclear RNA (U4 snRNA) is a component of the major U2-dependent spliceosome. The structure of U4 snRNA from yeast and human has been reported. U4 snRNA presents a k-turn RNA motif in the 5p-SL related to recognition of Snu13 protein. Lineage: Eukaryota; Metazoa; Chordata; Mammalia; Artiodactyla; Moschidae. The record is from Rfam by way of RNAcentral.
AGCUUUGCACAGUGGCAGUAUCAUAGCCAAUGAAGUUUAUCUGAGGCAUGAUACUGUUAAUUCAAAAGUAUCUUUAAAUGCAC